Molecule: long non-coding RNA, 711 nt
Filed under: Triticum aestivum (bread wheat)
Lineage: Eukaryota; Viridiplantae; Streptophyta; Magnoliopsida; Poales; Poaceae
Description: long non-coding RNA (TAES_LNC007332)
Source: RNAcentral
CAAAAUCAUGUAGGAUUGAGAUGAGCAUAACAUUUCAAUCCCAUGCUUUUUCUGUUCCUGCGAUUUUAGAAUCCUACGCAUCAAAGAGCACCUUACUUCAUCCUCAAGGUAGCUCGUUUUCUUGUCCGGGCAAAUUGGGGAAAAACUGGCAACCAGCUCCAAGCCUCCGACAGAUCGCCAUUUCCUUUCGCUUACACCACCACACAUCAGGGUGAGUUUCCACACGCAGACUUACAAAUCGAUAGGAAAAGGAAAAAAAAACUAGUACAGUUUCAGAAACACUAAAAUUAUUCGCUCCAACGCAAUCAGCAAAGUGCAGAUUGAUAGGAAACAUGAUGAUCAUCAUUCAUGGGCCGGGACACUGGCAAGUCUUGACGCAAUCGUCUCUGUGCUUGUAGCACGGGCCACCCCAGCAAGGACCAUCGCAGCACCACUUGAAUGCAUUUGGCGGAAAUAUGGCGUAGCGACAACGAUAGCUCACAUCCGUUAUGUUGAUCCCCAUCUUGUCGAUGCUCUGUCCUAAGAGAAAGAAAAUUGAAGUAGUUACAAUAUAUUCUCCCAAUAACAAGAUAAGUAGAUUUAUUCUGUAUAUGAAGUCAUAAAGUCUACAUGGAAAACCACUCUGGAUCUGAUCUUUCCAUGGGGUUGAUGAAGCAACUUUGAACAUACCGAUGACCACUCGAAAUAACAGACUUUAAUUGUUAAUUUUAC